RNAcentral lists this ribosomal RNA (484 nucleotides) under uncultured bacterium. Its description in RNAcentral is "partial 16S ribosomal RNA". It matches the Rfam family "Bacterial small subunit ribosomal RNA", at positions 30 to 507 of the family's 1533-position model. The record is from RNAcentral.
AUUGAACGCUGGCGGCAUGCUUUACACAUGCAAGUCGAACGGCCGCGCGGGCUGCGUCCUUUCCUCGUGUUGCCGACGGGCGGGUGAUUCAUCCGAACGUACCCUGUCUUUGGGGCUAGGCUGGCUACAGCCGGAUUAAUCUCGCAUCCGACCUGAUUUUGAAACGCGUGGUCCAAAAGGCCUCGCGCUAUUGGAGCGGCCUAUGUCGGAUUAGCUAGUUGGUUGGGUAAAGGCUUACCAAGGCGACGAUCCGUAGCUGGUCUGAGAGGACGACCAGCCACACUGGGACUGAGACACGGCCCAGACUCCUACGGGAGGCAGCAGUGGGGAAUUUUGGACAAUGGGGGAAAGCCUGACCCAGCCAUGCCGCGUGAGGGAAGAAGGCCUUCGGGUUGUAAAACGCUUUUGUUAGGGAAGAAAAUCUGUGGGCUAAACCGCCGGGGGGAUGACGGUACCGAAAGAAUAAGCAACGGCUAACUACGUG